This 253-nucleotide ribosomal RNA is filed under the name uncultured bacterium. RNAcentral's name for it is "partial 16S ribosomal RNA". It matches the Rfam family "Bacterial small subunit ribosomal RNA", at positions 524 to 776 of the family's 1533-position model. The record is from RNAcentral.
UACGUAGGGGGCAAGCGUUGUCCGGAAUCAUUGGGCGUAAAGAGCGUGUAGGCGGCCCGAUAAGUCCGCUGUGAAAGUCAAGGGCUCAACCCUUGAAUGCCGGUGGAUACUGCAGGGCUAGAGUCCGGAAGAGGCGAGUGGAAUUCCUGGUGUAGCGGUGAAAUGCGCAGAUAUCGGAAGGAACACCGGUGGCGAAAGCGGCGCGCUGGACCCCUUCUGACGCUGAGGCGCGAAAGCCAGGGGAGCAAACGGG